This 495-nucleotide ribosomal RNA is filed under the name uncultured bacterium. Its description in RNAcentral is "partial 16S ribosomal RNA". It matches the Rfam family "Bacterial small subunit ribosomal RNA", at positions 28 to 507 of the family's 1533-position model. The record is from RNAcentral.
GACGAACGCUGGCGGCGUGCCUAAUACAUGCAAGUAGAACGCUGAAGGAGGAGCUUGCUUCUCUGGAUGAGUUGCGAACGGGUGAGUAACGCGUAGGUAACCUGCAUGGUAGCGGGGGAUAACUAUUGGAAACGAUAGCUAAUACCGCAUAACAGUAGAUAUCGCAUGAUAUCUACUUGAAAGGUGCAAUUGCAUCACUACCAGAUGGACCUGCGUUGUAUUAGCUAGUUGGUGAGGUAACGGCUCACCAAGGCGACGAUACAUAGCCGACCUGAGAGGGGGAUCGGCCACACUGGGACUGAGACACGGCCCAGACUCCUACGGGAGGCAGCAGUAGGGAAUCUUCGGCAAUGGACGGAAGUCUGACCGAGCAACGCCGCGUGAGUGAAGAAGGUUGUCGGAUCGUAAAGCUCUGUUGUAAGAGAAGAACGAGUGUGAGAGUGGAAAGUUCACACUGUGACGGUAUCUUACCAGAAAGGGACGGCUAACUACGUG